UGCAACUGCCCGCCUCCCGGCUUUUCAAUAGGUACAGCAGGGCAAGUUCUUUAUGAGCUGCAUUUUGAACAGGUUAAAAUUGUUGGUAUUUGUUAGGAUCAAUGCCAUGAGUUACAGCUAAUUAACCUUGUGCCCAAACACCACUCUGUUCCUUCUACAAACUCAAGCAUCUCUUGAAAGAUUAUAAAAUAGUGGGGCCGCUUGGCAGGUUGGUUGCCUGGAUUUGCCCUAUCAUCUCAAAGAACAACUAUGUGCGAAAGAGAAGCCAAGAAGCAGAUGCUGGACUGAGAUGUGUGGAAUGAUUUGAAAUAUUGUGGAACUAGUUCCUUAUUAUAUCCAUUAUCCAGAAUUCAAAAAGUAUCCAAUGUGAAGAAAACUAACUGGUAGACUAAUUAAAGUAUUAUUGUAAUGACUAAAUCACAGAAAUGCCAUAAUAUGCAGUAUGUAUA
This is a long non-coding RNA of Mauremys reevesii (Reeves's turtle), 449 nucleotides long. RefSeq lists it as uncharacterized. The transcript has 3 exons. The record is from RefSeq and is a predicted model, not a curated record. Lineage: Eukaryota; Metazoa; Chordata; Testudines; Geoemydidae.